RNAcentral lists this ribosomal RNA (306 nucleotides) under uncultured bacterium. RNAcentral describes it as "partial 16S ribosomal RNA". It matches the Rfam family "Bacterial small subunit ribosomal RNA", at positions 507 to 807 of the family's 1533-position model. The record is from RNAcentral.
GACAGCAGUAGCCGCGGUAAUACGGAGGGGGCUAGCGUUGUUCGGAAUUACUGGGCGUAAAGCGCACGUAGGCGGCUUGGUAAGUUAGAGGUGAAAGCCUGGAGCUCAACUCCAGAAUUGCCUUUAAGACUGCCGAGCUAGCAGGUGAGAGAGGUAAGUGGAAUUCCGAGUGUAGAGGUGAAAUUCGUAGAUAUUCGGAAGAACACCAGUGGCGAAGGCGGCUUACUGGCUCAUACUGGACGCUGAGGUGCGAAAGCGUGGGGAGCAAACAGGAUUAGAGACCCCAGUAGUCCCUGUCUCUUAUAC